GCUGGGCGUGGUGGUGGGCGCCUGUAAUCCCAGCUACUUGGAAGUCUGAGGCAGGAGAAUCACUUGAACCCGGGAGGCGGAGGUUGCAGUGAGCCGAGAUCACACCACUGCACUCCUGCCUGGGCAACAGAGUGAGACUCUGCCUCAA
RNAcentral lists this non-coding RNA (148 nucleotides) under Pan paniscus (pygmy chimpanzee). RNAcentral also lists the same sequence under 1 other name. The record is from Rfam by way of RNAcentral. Lineage: Eukaryota; Metazoa; Chordata; Mammalia; Primates; Hominidae.